RNAcentral lists this ribosomal RNA (1252 nucleotides) under Pediococcus acidilactici. RNAcentral's name for it is "bacterial SSU rRNA". It matches the Rfam family "Bacterial small subunit ribosomal RNA", at positions 24 to 1236 of the family's 1533-position model. The record is from RNAcentral. Lineage: Bacteria; Bacillati; Bacillota; Bacilli; Lactobacillales; Lactobacillaceae.
UCAGGAUGAACGCUGGCGGCGUGCCUAAUACAUGCAAGUCGAACGAACUUCCGUUAAUUGAUUAUGACGUGCUUGCACUGAAUGAGAUUUUAACACGAAGUGAGUGGCGGACGGGUGAGUAACACGUGGGUAACCUGCCCAGAAGCAGGGGAUAACACCUGGAAACAGAUGCUAAUACCGUAUAACAGAGAAAACCGCCUGGUUUUCUUUUAAAAGAUGGCUCUGCUAUCACUUCUGGAUGGACCCGCGGCGCAUUAGCUAGUUGGUGAGGUAACGGCUCACCAAGGCGAUGAUGCGUAGCCGACCUGAGAGGGUAAUCGGCCACAUUGGGACUGAGACACGGCCCAGACUCCUACGGGAGGCAGCAGUAGGGAAUCUUCCACAAUGGACGCAAGUCUGAUGGAGCAACGCCGCGUGAGUGAAGAAGGGUUUCGGCUCGUAAAGCUCUGUUGUUAAAGAAGAACGUGGGUGAGAGUAACUGUUCACCCAGUGACGGUAUUUAACCAGAAAGCCACGGCUAACUACGUGCCAGCAGCCGCGGUAAUACGUAGGUGGCAAGCGUUAUCCGGAUUUAUUGGGCGUAAAGCGAGCGCAGGCGGUCUUUUAAGUCUAAUGUGAAAGCCUUCGGCUCAACCGAAGAAGUGCAUUGGAAACUGGGAGACUUGAGUGCAGAAGAGGACAGUGGAACUCCAUGUGUAGCGGUGAAAUGCGUAGAUAUAUGGAAGAACACCAGUGGCGAAGGCGGCUGUCUGGUCUGUAACUGACGCUGAGGCUCGAAAGCAUGGGUAGCGAACAGGAUUAGAUACCCUGGUAGUCCAUGCCGUAAACGAUGAUUACUAAGUGUUGGAGGGUUUCCGCCCUUCAGUGCUGCAGCUAACGCAUUAAGUAAUCCGCCUGGGGAGUACGACCGCAAGGUUGAAACUCAAAAGAAUUGACGGGGGCCCGCACAAGCGGUGGAGCAUGUGGUUUAAUUCGAAGCUACGCGAAGAACCUUACCAGGUCUUGACAUCUUCUGCCAACCUAAGAGAUUAGGCGUUCCCUUCGGGGACAGAAUGACAGGUGGUGCAUGGUUGUCGUCAGCUCGUGUCGUGAGAUGUUGGGUUAAGUCCCGCAACGAGCGCAACCCUUAUUACUAGUUGCCAGCAUUCAGUUGGGCACUCUAGUGAGACUGCCGGUGACAACCGGAGGAAGGGGGGACGACUUCAAUCAUCAUGCCCCUUAUGACUGGGGCUACAACGUGCUACAUGGAUGG